This 272-nucleotide ribosomal RNA is filed under the name uncultured bacterium. RNAcentral's name for it is "partial 16S ribosomal RNA". It matches the Rfam family "Bacterial small subunit ribosomal RNA", at positions 82 to 354 of the family's 1533-position model. The record is from RNAcentral.
UUCAUGUGACUGAGCGGCGGACGGGUGAGUAACGCGUGGGCAACCUGCCUUACACAGGGGGAUAACAGUUAGAAAUGACUGCUAAUACCGCAUAAGACCCCGGGACCGCAUGGUUCCGAGGUAAAAACUCCGGUGGUGUAAGAUGGGCCCGCGUCUGAUUAGGUAGUUGGCGGGGUAACGGCCCACCAAGCCGACGAUCAGUAGCCGACCUGAGAGGGUGACCGGCCACAUUGGGACUGAGACACGGCCCAGACUCCUACGGAAGGCAGCAG